GAGGGACUAGAAUCUCCAAAGAGGCAGAGCUGGGCAAAUAGACUGAGGUACUUGGGUGUAUCUAUAGUGCAGGGAAUGAUGUAGCACUCAUUUUUAAAGGUGCAAGCUGAGAUGAGAACUUGGAAAGUCAAGGGACUCAGUUGCACAAGGUAUGGGAACAUUGGAAAGAGCCAUCUCUUGUGUGGAUGAUUGUGGAGCUG
This 200-nucleotide long non-coding RNA is filed under the name Elaeis guineensis (African oil palm). Its description in RNAcentral is "long non-coding RNA (EGUI_LNC000327)". Lineage: Eukaryota; Viridiplantae; Streptophyta; Magnoliopsida; Arecales; Arecaceae. The record is from RNAcentral.